Molecule: ribosomal RNA, 253 nt
Filed under: uncultured bacterium
Lineage: Bacteria
Description: partial 16S ribosomal RNA
Rfam family: Bacterial small subunit ribosomal RNA
Source: RNAcentral
UACGGGGGGGGCAAGCGUUGUUCGGAAUUACUGGGCGUAAAGGGCUCGUAGGUGGCCAACUAAGUCAGACGUGAAAUCCCUCAGCUUAACUGGGGAACUGCGUCUGAUACUGGAUGGCUUGAGUUCGGGAGAGGGAUGCGGAAUUCCAGGUGUAGCGGUGAAAUGCGUAGAUAUCAGGAGGAACACCAGUGGCGAAGGCGGCGAUCUGGGAAGAUACUGACGCUGAGGUGCGAAAGCGUGGGGAGCAAACAGG